GGUGAACGCUGGCGGCGGGCCUAACACAUGCAAGUCGAACGGCAACACAGUGAGCGCUCGCCUUUACGGGUGGCGAGUGGCGGACGGGUGAGGCAUACAUCGGAAUCUACUUUUUCGUGGGGGACUUCGUAGGGAAACUGACGCUAAUACCGCAUAUGAUCUACGGCUUAAAUCAGUGGAUCUUGACAGCUUUCGCGUCUCAUUGAGCCGAUGUCGCAUUAGCUAGUUGGCGGGGUAAAGGCCCACCAAGGCGACGAUCCGUAGCUGGUCUGAGAGGAUGAUCAGCCACACUGGAACUGAGACACGGUCCAGACUCCUACGGGAGGCAGCAGUGGGGAAUAUUGGACAAUGGGCGCAAGCCUGAUCCAGCCAUACCGCGUGGGUGAAGAAGGCCUUCGGGUUGUAAAGCCCUUUUGUUGGGAAAGAAAAGCAGCAGGUUAAUACCCCGCUGUUCUGACGGUACCCAAAGAAUAAGCACCGGCUAACUUCGUG
Molecule: ribosomal RNA, 492 nt
Filed under: uncultured bacterium
Lineage: Bacteria
Description: partial 16S ribosomal RNA
Rfam family: Bacterial small subunit ribosomal RNA
Source: RNAcentral